CAGUCGCCGCGGUAAUACGGAGGGUGCAAGCGUUAAUCGGAAUUACUGGGCGUAAAGCGUGCGUAGGCGGUUCGAUAAGUCUGUUGUGAAAGCCCCGGGCUCAACCUGGGAAUGGCAAUGGAUACUGGCGAGCUAGAGUGUGUCAGAGGAUGGUGGAAUUCCCGGUGUAGCGGUGAAAUGCGUAGAGAUCGGGAGGAACAUCAGUGGCGAAGGCGACCAUCUGGGACUAUACUGACGCUGAUGCACGAAAGCGUGGGGAGCAAACAGGAUUAGAUACCCCAGUAGUCCCUGUCUCUUAUAU
Molecule: ribosomal RNA, 301 nt
Filed under: uncultured bacterium
Lineage: Bacteria
Description: partial 16S ribosomal RNA
Rfam family: Bacterial small subunit ribosomal RNA
Source: RNAcentral